AACGAACGCUGGCGGCAGGCCUAACACAUGCAAGUCGAGCGAGACCUUCGGGUCUAGCGGCGGACGGGUGAGUAACGCGUGGGAAUAUGCCCUUCUCUACGGAAUAGCCUCGGGAAACUGGGAGUAAUACCGUAUACGCCCUUCGGGGGAAAGAUUUAUCGGAGAAGGAUUAGCCCGCGUUGGAUUAGGUAGUUGGUGGGGUAAUGGCCUACCAAGCCGACGAUCCAUAGCUGGUUUGAGAGGAUGAUCAGCCACACUGGGACUGAGGCACGGCCCAGACUCCUACGGGAGGCAGCAGUGGGGAAUCUUAGACAAUGGGCGCAAGCCUGAUCUAGCCAUGCCGCGUGAUUGAUGAAGGCCUUAGGGUUGUAAAGAUCUUUCAGCUGGGAAGAUAAUGACGGUACCAGCAGAAGAAGCCCCGGCUAACUCCGUGCCAGCAGCCGCAGUAA
RNAcentral lists this ribosomal RNA (449 nucleotides) under uncultured bacterium. RNAcentral's name for it is "partial 16S ribosomal RNA". It matches the Rfam family "Bacterial small subunit ribosomal RNA", at positions 29 to 523 of the family's 1533-position model. The record is from RNAcentral.